GCCAGCGUAGCUCAGUUGGCAGAGCAACUGAUUUGUAAUCAGUGGGUCGGGGGUUCGACUCCCUUCGCUGGCUCCA
RNAcentral lists this transfer RNA (76 nucleotides) under Deltaproteobacteria bacterium. RNAcentral's name for it is "tRNA-Thr". It matches the Rfam family "tRNA". From Rfam's summary of the family: Transfer RNA (tRNA) molecules are approximately 80 nucleotides in length. Lineage: Bacteria; Pseudomonadati; Myxococcota; Myxococcia. The record is from RNAcentral.